Molecule: small nucleolar RNA, 134 nt
Organism: Python bivittatus (Burmese python)
Lineage: Eukaryota; Metazoa; Chordata; Lepidosauria; Squamata; Pythonidae
Product: small nucleolar RNA SNORA72
Source: RefSeq, a predicted model, not a curated record
AUGCGAAUAUUCUCGCUGUUCUGGAUUUGUUAGUAAUCAGGACAGGCUAGACAUUCGCUAUAUUACCACUAUGCAUUGUGUCCCCAGAGCUAGUUUGUCUCCCUAGUUCUGGUUUUUAACUGCAAGUAACAUUC